Molecule: ribosomal RNA, 253 nt
Filed under: uncultured bacterium
Lineage: Bacteria
Description: partial 16S ribosomal RNA
Rfam family: Bacterial small subunit ribosomal RNA
Source: RNAcentral
UACGAAGGUCCCAAGCGUUAUCCGGAUUUAUUGGGUUUAAAGGGUGCGUAGGCGGCUUAUUAAGUCAGUGGUGAAAGCCCCAAGCUUAACUUGGGAACUGCCAUUGAUACUGAUGAGCUUGGGUAGAUUUGAGGCGGGCGGAAUGUGUCGUGUAGCGGUGAAAUGCUUAGAUAUGACACAGAACACCAAUUGCGUAGGCAGCUCGCUAAACUCUUACUGACGCUGAGGCACGAAAGCAUGGGGAUCAAACAGG